Molecule: ribosomal RNA, 465 nt
Filed under: uncultured bacterium
Lineage: Bacteria
Description: partial 16S ribosomal RNA
Rfam family: Bacterial small subunit ribosomal RNA
Source: RNAcentral
GACGAACGCUGGCGGCGUGCUUAACACAUGCAAGUCGAGCGAGGCCCCUCCUUCGGGAGGAUGUCCUAGCGGCGAACGGGUGAGUAACACGUGGGCAACCUGCCCUCAGCUCUGGGAUAACUCCGGGAAACCGGGGCUAAUACCGGAUACGACCUCCACGGGCAUCUGCGGAGGUGGAAAGUUUUUCGGCUGAGGAUGGGCCCGCGGCCUAUCAGCUAGUUGGUGGGGUAGUGGCCCACCAAGGCGACGACGGGUAGCCGGCCUGAGAGGGCGACCGGCCACACUGGGACUGAGACACGGCCCAGACUCCUACGGGAGGCAGCAGUGGGGAAUAUUGCGCAAUGGGCGAAAGCCUGACGCAGCGACGCCGCGUGAGGGACGAAGGCCUUCGGGUUGUAAACCUCUUUCAGCAGGGACGAAGCGAAAGUGACGGUACCUGCAGAAGAAGCACCGGCCAACUACGUG